AGAUCCGUUAAAUUUUAAUUUAUAAAUAUAGUUUUAUGAUGGAAAAAAAAAUAUUAAGGGCGGUUUGGUUGUAUGUAUUUCUAACUGCACUGCAGUUAGAAAUGCAUGCAUCUAUUAAAUUUUUAUUUGGCUUGGUGUAGUUAGGCCCAACUGCUGCAAUUGCAUCUGCACAAGAAGGCCCAACUGUAGCAGUUGGUACUGCAGCCAAAUUAGCUGCAGUACCAGCAGUUGGGCCGGAGUAGGCUCACCCAUUAAAAAAAAAAAUAAAGUGUGAUUUUUUUUUUUUUUCAUACGCUUUUUUUCAAUUUGCUAUUUUAAUAAUAUCUUAAUUUUUAUUUUUGACCAAAUUUAUAAUAUAUUUGCAUUUAAAAUUUAUUAAACUCAUACAUAAUUUUAUAAUAUAUAAAUUAUAUAUAGAUAUAAAAGUCUUAAUUAAUAAUUAAAACAUGAUUACGUUAUGCUCAGAAAAGUUAAUAUCACUUUCUAUCUAAAAAUUGACAAAAUUUAUAAAUACAAAUCUCAACUACAGACUACAAAAUAGAAAAAAUAUAACUGCAGCAGUUGCAACUGUAUAAAACCAAACAAACUAAAAGUGUAAUUAUUACUGCAGUAUUUACAACUGUAUGUAUUUUUAACUACACUAUUUUUUUAACUACAUCCAACCAAACGACCCCUCAGUGAAAGCGAUAAAUGAUUCACUGCAUUCAUUACAUUUUUUACGAUCUUAUAAAAGGGAUGAAUGGUUCACCGCUUUUAAAAACGGUAAAUCAUUCACUACUUGCUUCUUUUUUCUACUCCUUUCUAUAUUUCUACGACGGUUUUAGGAGGAGUUAUGAAUGCGGUGAAUGAUUCACCACACCGCCCAUAUUAUUUAUUUUUCAAAAUCUCAAUCUGAUGUAUUAGAGAUUUAUUUUUAUAAUUAAUUUUUUUAAAAUUUUUUUUUUUAUAAUUAUAAAAAUCGGU
RNAcentral lists this long non-coding RNA (963 nucleotides) under Ananas comosus (pineapple). RNAcentral describes it as "long non-coding RNA (ACOM_LNC018311)". Lineage: Eukaryota; Viridiplantae; Streptophyta; Magnoliopsida; Poales; Bromeliaceae. The record is from RNAcentral.